GAUGAAGAACGUAGCGAAAUGCGAUAAGUAGUGUGAAUUGCAGAAUUCCGUGAAUCAUCGAAUCUUUGAACGCACAUUGCGCCCGCCAGUAUUCUGACGGGCAUGCCUGUUCGAGCGUCAUUUCAACCAUCAAGCCCCCGGCUUGUGUUGGGGACCUGCGGCUGCCGCAGGCCCUGAAAUCCAGUGGCGGGCUCGCCGUAGCACCGAGCGUAGUAGCACACUUCUCGCUCCGGUAGCAGCGGCGGGCGCUUGCCGUAAAACCCCCCCUAAAAUCUCAAGGUUGACCUCGGAUCAGGUAGGAAUACCCGCUGAACUUAAGCAUAUCAAUAAGCGGAGGA
This 338-nucleotide unclassified non-coding RNA is filed under the name soil metagenome. RNAcentral's name for it is "partial contains 5.8S ribosomal RNA, internal transcribed spacer 2, and large subunit ribosomal RNA". The stretch from base 1 to 120 matches the Rfam family "5.8S ribosomal RNA", at positions 35 to 154 of the family's 154-position model. The record is from RNAcentral.